GAUGAAGAACGCAGCGAAAUGCGAUACGUAAUGUGAAUUGCAGAAUUCAGUGAAUCAUCGAGUCUUUGAACGCACAUUGCGCCCCCUGGUAUUCCGGGGGGCAUGCCUGUCCGAGCGUCAUUGCUGCCCUCAAGCACGGCUUGUGUGUUGGGCCUCCGUCCUCCUCCCGGGGGACGGGCCCGAAAGGCAUCGGCGGCACCGCGUCCGGUCCUCGAGCGUAUGGGGCUUCGUCACCCGCUCUUGUAGGCCCGGCCGGCGCUUGCCGACACAUCAAUCUUUUUUCCAGGUUGACCUCGGAUCAGGUAGGGAUACCCGCUGAACUUAAGCAUAUCAAUAAGCGGAGGA
Molecule: unclassified non-coding RNA, 345 nt
Filed under: soil metagenome
Description: partial contains 5.8S ribosomal RNA, internal transcribed spacer 2, and large subunit ribosomal RNA
Rfam family: 5.8S ribosomal RNA (bases 1-120)
Source: RNAcentral